UACGGGGGGUGCGAGCGUUGUCCGGAAUCACUGGGCGUAAAGGGCGCGUAGGUGGUUUGAUAAGGGUGUGGUGAAAGUCCGGGGCUCAACCCCGGAUCUGCCGUGCCGACUGUCAAACUCGAGGACUGUAGAGGCAGACGGAAUUCCCGGUGUAGCAGUGAAAUGCGUAGAGAUCGGGAGGAACACUAGUGGCGAAGGCGGCCUUCUGGACCAAUACUGACGCUCAUGCACGAAAGCGUGGGGAGCAAACAGG
This 253-nucleotide ribosomal RNA is filed under the name uncultured bacterium. RNAcentral describes it as "partial 16S ribosomal RNA". It matches the Rfam family "Bacterial small subunit ribosomal RNA", at positions 524 to 776 of the family's 1533-position model. The record is from RNAcentral.